GUAACUUUCAAAAUAUACAUCCAAUCUCCAUAAAAAAAUACAUAUUAUUAAUCAGCACACUUUAAACAUAAACAUUCUCAAAAAUCAUACAAAUCCCUCCAGUAAUUCAAAAGUUAGUCGGAAGUCCUUUCUGACCGCAAGCACAUUUUGAUGCCCAAGUUCCAUUUGGUCUGUGCGGUCGGUCUAUUUCAGGCAGAAAAAUGACUAAGUCCCAUUCGAAUGCAAGAAC
Molecule: non-coding RNA, 229 nt
Organism: Pelobates cultripes (western spadefoot toad)
Lineage: Eukaryota; Metazoa; Chordata; Amphibia; Anura; Pelobatidae
Source: the annotation of a GenBank genome assembly